This is a long non-coding RNA of Eriocheir sinensis (Chinese mitten crab), 4060 nucleotides long. RefSeq lists it as uncharacterized. The transcript is spliced from 3 exons. NCBI's taxonomy places the organism in Eukaryota, Metazoa, Arthropoda, Malacostraca, Decapoda, Varunidae. The record is from RefSeq and is a predicted model, not a curated record.
GGAUGGAAAGGGAAGGGAAGGGAAGGGAAGGAAAAGGAAGGGAUGGGAUGGGAUGGGAAGGGAAGGGAAGCGAAGAUAAAGUAAGGGAGAGGAAGGGAAGGGAAGGGAAUAGGAGGGAAGGGAAAGGAAUAGGAGGAAAGGUAACUGAAGGGAGGGAAAUGUAAGGAAAUGGAUGGGAAGGGAAGGGAAGGGAAGGAAAGGAAAAAGAAGGGAAAGGAAUGAAGGAAAAGUAAAUUAAGAUAAAGUAAUAUAUGACUGGAAAACAAGAUAGCAAGAUAAGAUAUGCCUCACCACUCUUCACAUAAUAGUAAACAAGAAGAUAUUGAUGUUUAUGAAGGAAAAAACAGAAGAAAUUAGGUUAGGUAAGGUGAGGUAAUGAUUAUUUAAGAUAAUGCAAGAUAAUGAACAAGAUAAGUAGCCUUUUGCAAUGUGAAAGAGAGGAAAUUGCAUAUAUAAAUAACACUUUAGAGUUAUUUAAGAGGCUAGAGGAGGAGGAGGGGGAAGAGGAGGAGGAGGAAGAGGAGAUAUAAGGAAAACCAGAGAGAGAGAGAGAGAGAGAGAGAGAGAGAGAGAGAGAGAGAGAGAGAGAGAGAGAGAUGAAAGGGAUAGGAAUGAAAAGGAAAACUUACAUUGAACAAGUUAGCAAGAGAAUAUGAAAAGGAAGAAGAAGAGGAGGAGGAGGAAGAGGAAGAGGAAGAGGAGGAGGAUUAUGAAUAAGGAGAAGCUGGAAGAGAGGAGAAAGUGUGUGUUUGUGAAGGAAAAACACAUACAAGCAAAUAACUUACACAAAUAUACACAAAGAAAUAAGACAGCAUUAAGGAAUAAGACAGAAGAAGAGGUUGAAAAGGAUGAGAGAAAAGAAAGUGCUUAUAUUUGUGAAGGAAAAACAAAUUAUAUACACAGAUAAUAUAUUCAGAUCAUUAAACAAGGCUGGAAGGAGGAGGAGGAGGAGGAGAAGGAACCGUAGGAACAGGAGGAUAUAUUGGUGAAAUGAGACAGUUAGCGGAAAAAUAAUUAUGAAGGAAAAACAAAUUAUAUACACAGAUAAUAUAUUUAGAUCAUUAAACAAGGCUGGAAGGAGGAGGAGGAGAAGGAACCAUAGGAACAGGAGGUUAUAUUAGUAAAAUGACACAGUUAACAGAAAAAUAAUUAUGAAGGAAAAACAAAUUAUAUACACAGAUAAUAUAUUUAGAUCAUUAAACAAGGCUGGAAGGAGGAGGAGGAGAAGGAACCAUAGGAACAGGAGGUUAUAUUAGUAAAAUGAGACAGUUUGCGGAAAAAUAAUUAUGAAGGAAAAACAAAUAAAUUAAUAUCACCGUUUAUGAGCCUAAAAAACAUCAUUAAAACAACUUCAAUAGCAACGAUUUCACCCAAUCAAUAAGUAAAUUCUAUAUAAAUAAUCAGACUCGAGGCAGAAAAAUAUACCCAUACGUUCAUUGUCAUAACGCGACGUGGGUUUUAGAAUAUGGUGAUGGUGGUCGAGAGGUUAUAUAUCAAUUUGCUGGGGACUGGUUAAUAUAAUACUUACAUAUAGCUAGAUUAUCAAUAGUGGGGCUUAGGUGCUGGGUUGAUGGCCUAGUGGGGUUAGUUAUAAUAUAUCGAAGCUAGUUUAGAGAUUGUAGGGGAUCCGUUUAUUUUGUGGGGCUAUGUAAAAAUUGGGAGGUCUAGCUCAAUAAGUAGGCUAGUAACUUAGGAGGGGCUAGGUUAUUGAUUUCAUGGGGUUAGUUCAAGUUAGGUGGGGCUAGGCUAGUGACAUCUGUAGGCCUAGUUAAUUGGGUAGGACUAGUUCAAGAGUUCAGUGGGGCUAGGCUAGUGUCUGGUGGGGCUCAUUUAAUCAUUUGGUGGGGCUAGGCUAGUGACAUCUGUAGGGCUAGUUAAUUGGGUAGGACUAGUUCAAGAGUUCAGUGGGGCUAGGCUAGUGACUGUGGUGGGGCUCGUUCAAGUUAGGUGAGGUUAGGCUAGUGACAUCUGUAGGCCUAGUUAAUUGGGUAGGACUAGGCUAGUGACUGUGGUGGGGCUCGUUCAAGUUAGGUGAGGUUAGGCUAGUGACAAGGGUGGGACUAGCUUAACCCGGUAACAGCGGGGAUCGUGUUUCUUAAUCGCCCUUCCCUCUAAGCGAGAAAAAUGAGAAAAAAUCAUCACUCACGCAAACCAUUUCAUAAUAUAUAUCAACGCGUUUGUGAUCCGUUUAUGCAUCAUCUAUUUUGGGGGGUUUAUAUCAUGGCAGCAAUUAGGCUCGUCGCUGGUUCAUGGUAAAGCCGCAAAUUUGGCCUAUCGCUGCUAUUGGGUUAAUGAUCUAAUGGGGAUAUUUAAUAAUUUGGGGGGGGCUAUUUUAUCUUUAGGUAGGGAUGACUUAAAUAUUUUGUGGGGCUAGAUUAAGACUGAUACCAUUUCCAAGAUUAGUAAUUAUUGUAGACCUGGAAACAGGGCUCAGAAGGUACAGACUCCCAUGGAUGAGUCUUAAUAUGUGUGGUUUGUGCCUUGUGGUAUGUGAGAGUGUGUGUUUGUGAAAGGGGAGAGACUGUUUGUGUAUUUCAGGUGGCAAAAUAGGAUGCCCAGUGCCGAUGUAGCUUACAGAUGUGGAGUAGAGGACCUGGAAACAGUGCUCAGAAGGGAAAGACUCCGAUGGUUUGGACAUGUGAAGAGAGCAGGGGAGGACACAGUGCUGGGAGUUUUGGAGACAUUGGAGGCAGGAGGCCAGUUGGUAGACCUAGGAAAAUGUGGAGAAGGUGAAAACAGGAAGACUUGGCAUUGAUGGGAUUGGAUGAGCUUUGGAGUAGAAUGGAGGAGAGAGAGAGAGCAGGGGAGGACACAGUGCUGGGAGUUUUGGAGACACUGGAGGCAGAAGGAAGGAGACCAGUUGGUAGACCUAGGAAAAUGUGGAGGUGUAUACAGGAAGACUUGGCAUUGAUGGGACUGGAUGAGCAUUGGAGUAGAAUGGAGGAGAGAGAGAGAGAGAGAGCAGGGGAGGAUAGUGCUGGGAGUUUUGGAGACAUUGGAGGCAGAAGGAGGCCAGUGGGGAGGAUACAGUGCUGGGAGUUUUGGAGACUGAAAAUGGACAGUAAAUGAAAUUAUGAUUAAUUAUUGUAAUGUGAUAACUACAAAAAAAGAUUGCAUAAAUUUGUAGACAGAAAACAUGUCUCACAAAACACACACACACACACACACAUAUAACACAGAACAAACACCACCCAUUUCACACACACAGGGUCAAUAUCACACCCUGAGGUAGACCCAAUCACCCUGAGGCCCCAAGGGUUUCUUUUCACAGGGGGGGUGGGGUGGGGGGCAGAAAAUCAAUAUCUAAUGCAAAUUUUCCCAGGGUACAUUACAAGGGCAACCCCACACAAUGAUCUACCCCAGGGUGUGUGUAUCUCUUCCCCAGGGGCAGCAGUGUGUCCUGAGGCAAAUAAAUGGCAAGAAAAUCAAUGAAUAAUGCAAGUUUUCACUAAGCUUUCCCAGGGCACGUAGACUGGACAGCCCCACAUUAUGACCGCCUACCCCGGGGUGUGUUAUUUCCUCCCCUGGGGCACCGUGGGGGAGGGAAACGCAAGAACAUGGCAAAUCAAUAAUAAGGAGAGUUUUCACCAAGCUUUCCCAGGGCACGUAGACUGGACAGCCCCACACCAUGACCGCCUACCCCGGGGUGCGUUAUUUCCUCCCCUGGGGCACCGUGGGGGAGGGAAACGCGAGAAAAUGGCAAGAAAUCAAUAAAAAGGAUAGUUUUCACCAAGCUUUCCCAGGGCACGUAGACUGGACAGCCCCACACCAUGACCGCCUACCCCGGGGUGUGUUAUUUCCUCCCCUGGGGCACCGUGGGGGAGGGAAACGCGAGAAAAUGGCAAGAAAUCAAUAAAAAGGAUAGUUUUCACCAAGCUUUCCCAGGGCACGUAGACUGGACAGCCCCACAUUAUGACCGCCUACCCCGGGGUGCGUUAUUUCCUCCCCUGGGGCACCGUGGGGGAGGGAAACGCGAGAAAAUGGCAAGAAAUCAAUAAAAAGGACAGUUUUCACCAAGCUUUCCCAGGGCACGUAGACUCGUCAACCCCACACUUCACAC